GGGCCCGCACAAGCGGUGGAGUAUGUGGUUUAAUUCGAUGCAACGCGAAGAACCUUACCAGGGUUUGACAUCCUGCGAAUCUCUUGGAAACGAGAGAGUGCCUUCGGGAACGCAGUGACAGGUGGUGCAUGGCUGUCGUCAGCUCGUGUCGUGAGAUGUUGGGUUAAGUCCCGCAACGAGCGCAACCCACGUCUUUAGUUGCCAGCAGUUCGGCUGGGCACUCUAUGGAAACUGCCCGUGAUAAGCGGGAGGAAGGUGGGGACGACGUCAGGUCAGUAUGGCCCUUACGCCUAGGGCUGCACACGUACUACAAUGCCCAGCACAAUGAGAACCGAGACCGCAAGGUGGAGGAAAUCUGCAAAACUGGGCCCAGUUCGGAUUGGAGGCUGCAACUCGCCUCCAUGAAGUCGGAAUCGCUAGUAAUGCCGUAUC
RNAcentral lists this ribosomal RNA (432 nucleotides) under uncultured bacterium. RNAcentral describes it as "bacterial SSU rRNA". It matches the Rfam family "Bacterial small subunit ribosomal RNA", at positions 917 to 1350 of the family's 1533-position model. The record is from RNAcentral.